Molecule: ribosomal RNA, 470 nt
Filed under: uncultured bacterium
Lineage: Bacteria
Description: bacterial SSU rRNA
Rfam family: Bacterial small subunit ribosomal RNA
Source: RNAcentral
AGUGAACGCUAGUGGCGUGCUUAACACAUGCAAGUCGAACGGACGAUAUUUGUGCUUGCACAAAUAAAGUUAGUGGCAAACGGGUGAGUAACGCGUGAGAAUCUGCCCUCAGGAGGGGGACAACAGCUGGAAACGGCUGCUAAUACCCCAUAUGCCGCGAGGUGAAAUGAAUUUCGCCUGAGGAUGAGCUCGCGUCUGAUUAGCUAGUUGGUGUAGGUAAUGGCUCACCAAGGCAUCGAUCAGUAGCUGGUCUGAGAGGAUGAUCAGCCACACUGGGACUGAGACACGGCCCAGACUCCUACGGGAGGCAGCAGUGGGGAAUUUUCCGCAAUGGGCGAAAGCCUGACGGAGCAACGCCGCGUGAGGGAUGAAGGCCUCUGGGCUGUAAACCUCUUUUAUCAAGGAAGAAGAUCUGACGGUACUUGAUGAAUAAGCCACGGCUAAUUCCGUGCCAGCCGCCGCCGUAACAC